This 399-nucleotide ribosomal RNA is filed under the name Tetraselmis cordiformis. RNAcentral's name for it is "partial small subunit ribosomal RNA". It matches the Rfam family "Eukaryotic small subunit ribosomal RNA", at positions 30 to 432 of the family's 1831-position model. The record is from RNAcentral. Lineage: Eukaryota; Viridiplantae; Chlorophyta; Chlorodendrophyceae; Chlorodendrales; Chlorodendraceae.
GCUUGUCUCAAAGAUUAAGCCAUGCAUGUCUAAGUAUAAACAAAUCUAUACGUGAAACUGCGAAUGGCUCAUUAUAUCAGUUAUAGUUUAUUUGAUGGUUCUUGCUACUUGGAUAACCGUAGUAAUUCUAGAGCUAAUACGUGCGUAAAUCCCGACUCCUGGAAGGGACGUAUUUAUUAGAUUUAAGGCCAACCGAGCUUGCUCGUCUCUUGGUGAAUCAUGAUAACUUCACGAAUCGCAUGGCCUCGCGCCGGCGAUAUUUCAUUCAAAUUUCUGCCCUAUCAAUUGGCGAUGGUAGGAUAGAGGCCUACCAUGGUGUUAACGGGUGACGGGGGAUUAGGGUUCGAUUCCGGAGAGGCAGCCUGAGAAACGGCUACCACAUCCAAGGAAGGCAGCAGG